UUAGAGCAGAAAUUCUCUCCUGCCCUGUACUUCCUUCCCCACUUCCUACCUUUGAUAGUUGGAAUACUGGCAGGCAUCUCACCACCAAGAGAAGACAAACUAAAGGAUCAAAAGCAACGUACUGAAGAUAGGAGAGCAAAAGAUGAAAAUAACUUGGAUCGUUAGUGAUCCUGAAGGGCCACCAAAUAAACCUUUGGAUGCUUACCUCUAUACUUCCUAUUGAGUUAUACAACGAAUUUGGAAUUUUCCUAAAGAUUUGGGUUUGAAAACACUUCUCUACUUCAAGUUUUAUCACGGACCAGGACUGAUCAACUAAAUGCGAAUAGAUGUGUUCUAUAUCAGCUUCCCUAGAACACAAAGCCUGAAUCAAGGAUGAAAGGAAGAUGCUUUUUGGCAAGGCAUAAAUUCAGAGGAUCCAGGAUGAGGACAAAGGCAAGUGAGCUAUGCAAGAUGUAAAAUGAUGUUUCAACAACACAAAGCUGAUUGUUUGGCAGUUGCAUCUAUUUCAUGCAUAGAACUUCUCCAGAUGGACUACCAAGAAACACUGUGCUUCAAAGAAUUUGAUAAGGACUAUGAAAGGGAUUAACAAUGGGGAUAUCAGCAAGAAAUCAGAUAACAGAGCUGUGAUGGAACUCGAGAUCUAAGUGAUUCUAAGUGACCCCCCAACACACAAUGAAGCCUCUGCAAAGAAAAGCUUAAAUUAAAAUAGAACACAAACUCU
RNAcentral lists this long non-coding RNA (721 nucleotides) under Homo sapiens (human). RNAcentral's name for it is "HSALNT0150383". The record is from RNAcentral. Lineage: Eukaryota; Metazoa; Chordata; Mammalia; Primates; Hominidae.